Molecule: ribosomal RNA, 397 nt
Filed under: uncultured bacterium
Lineage: Bacteria
Description: partial 16S ribosomal RNA
Rfam family: Bacterial small subunit ribosomal RNA
Source: RNAcentral
AUACGAAGGGUGCAAGCGUCACUCGGAAUUACUGGGCGUAAAGCGUGCGUAGGUGGUUGUUUAAGUCUGUCGUGAAAGCCCUGGGCUCAACCUGGGAAUGGCGAUGGAAACUGGGCGACUAGAGUGUGGCAGAGGGUAGUGGAAUUCCUGGUGUAGCAGUGAAAUGCGUAGAGAUCAGGAGGAACAUCCGUGGCGAAGGCGACUGCCUGGGCCAACACUGACACUGAGGCACGAAAGCGUGGGGAGCAAACAGGAUUAGAUACCCUGGUAGUCCACGCCCUAAACGAUGCGAACUGGAUGUUGGGUGCAAUUUGGCACGCAGUAUCGAAGCUAACGCGUUAAGUUCGCCGCCUGGGGAGUACGGUCGCAAGACUGAAACUCAAAUGAAUUGACGGGG